Molecule: ribosomal RNA, 872 nt
Filed under: uncultured Planctomycetota bacterium
Lineage: Bacteria; Pseudomonadati; Planctomycetota
Description: bacterial SSU rRNA
Rfam family: Bacterial small subunit ribosomal RNA
Source: RNAcentral
AGAGUUUGAUCCUGGCUCAGAAUGAACGUUGGCGGCGUGGAUUAGGCAUGCAAGUCGAGCGCGAUAUUUUUGAAAGAUACUUCGGUUGAUUUCUUGAAUGGAAAGCGGCGAAAGGGAGAGUAACGAGUAGAUACGUACCCAGGGGUUCGGGAUAGCCAUGCGAAAGCGUGAGUAAUACCGAAUAAUGUCUCCGGACCAAAAAUUUAUUGCCCUUGGAGCGGUCUGCUUACUAUUAGCUUGUUGGUGGGGUAAAAGCCUACCAAGGCGAAGAUGGUUAGCGGGUGUGAGAGCGUGGCCCGUCUCACUGGGACUGAGACACUGCCCAGACAUCUACGGAUGGCUGCAGUCGAGAAUCUUCCGCAAUGGACGAAAGUCUGACGGAGCGACGCCGCGUGAUGGACGAAGGCCCUCGGGUUGUAAACAUCUGUCGUAGGGGAGGAAAUUUUGACCGAUCCUAGGAGGAAGCACAGGCUAAGUUCGUGCCAGCAGCCGCGGUAAUACGAACUGUGCAAACGUUAUUCGGAAUCACUGGGCUUAAAGGGUGCGUAGGCGGGUUAGUAGGUCAGAUGUGAAAUCCCACGGCUCAACCGUGGAAUUGCGUUUGAAACCACUAGUCUUGAGGGGAUCAGAGGAGAGCGGAACUGAUGGUGGAGCGGUGAAAUGCGUUGAUAUUAUCAGGAACACCGGUGGCGAAGGCGGCUCUCUGGGAUCUUUCUGACGCUGAGGCACGAAAGCUAGGGGAGCGAACGGGAUUAGAUACCCCGGUAGUCCUAGCUGUAAACGAUCUGUACUAGUCCGUGGGGACCCCCACAUCUUCUCGGACGUAGCGAAAGUGUUAAGUACAGCGCCUGGGGAGUAUGGUCGCAAGGCAA